ACUAUCACAAUAACAUAGGCUGCUUAUUUCGAGUUUUUUUUUUAUUUUAGUGGAUUAUUUUGUGCGUUUAAUGUUUCCAUUCUAACUUAUUCGACACCGUAUCAAGCUGCAUCGCUUGCAUGUUGUGACUCGAACUCGACUUACGUCAUUUCACAGAUGCCUACUUAGCAAAAAUAGCAUAUCUAAACGAUGGCUUCGCUUGCUAAGAAAGCGAAGACCGCCUCUACUUUGCCUGUUUGUCCUUAUGGUGCCAGAUGCUAUCGAAAACAUCCACAGCAUUUAAAAGAUUUCAGGCACGAUACCAAAGAUGAUGGCGAGGUGGCAGGAAGCAGUGGAUCAAAAGUUUCGGCUUCGAGAACUGAUGCGUUAUCUACCAUCGACUCGUCUAACCUUCCAUUCUGUAAAUAUGGGGCAUCUUGUUAUAGGAAAAACCUGUUACAUUUCGCAGAAUUUACUCAUCCUACAACAGUAGUAUCGAAGAUAAAAAACGACGAUGACAGUGAUACGGACGAACUUUCUGAUUCGGAGGAUGAAAAGAAAGGUAAGAAAGGUGAGGUGAAGACAGAUGACAUUUUAAAGAGGGGCAUGUCACUGGUGAAGAGUUACUCAAAGAUGUCGGAGGCAGAGAGGAAAGAGCUCAUCAAGAAGGCAUUUGAAGCCAAACUGAAGCUUCAGAAAGAACUCAAAGAAACACAGGAUGAGAUGAAAAGUAAAGACAAGAAACUUCAGAAGCUUCAAGAUCAGGUCAGUACAGGUUUGCUGCUGGUGGAGGGAGAGAAGGAAGCCUUGGAAGGGAAAAAGACUGUGUACUUCACACUGCAGGCUGAACGAUCCUACAAGGAAGGGUCUGCUGACCAAACUCAUUUCCGACUUGCAGAGUCUCAGUUUUACCGACUCCUUAGUGGCCCCAGUGUAGGAUAUCGUGUCAGCAAGGUAGAUUAUGCAGUUAAUCCCAACUUAGUGAAAAAAUUCAAAUCUGCCCGUGAGGAUUUGAAAAAGCAUCGAGGGGCAGACAAGUCCUUCCCAGUCCUAGCCUUUCAUGGGACAGAUAUGAAAAACAUUAAACCUAUCUGUGAGACUGGAUUCAAAGUGCCAGGAGACACUGGUUUUACUCACAAGACUGACACAGGAUAUUAUGGAAAAGGUGUAUACUUCAGUGAGUUUCCAUCAUAUUCAAUGAGCUACAUCCAUGGGGCUACCAAACUACUGCUGUGUCAGGUCCUACCUGGGAAGGUUUUCCAGUGUACCAAACUCAUCCACGGGUCCGCCCUCCAGAAGGGACAUGAUUCUCACACUUCGCCAGACAAAAUGGAGUUAGUUAUAUUCAACGGCAAUCACAUCCUUCCAUCGUACAUUGUACAUUACGAAAAUGCCAGUACUAAUUUCACAUACAAACCUACUGGCGGUACCUCUGACAUGUUUGACCCAAUGAAGAUAGCAGAAGGUUACGGUGCUAUUGCUAGUUCCAAGGCUUCAAAGACCUUCAAACACGAACAGAUCAUGUUUUCUGGAAUGUUUCAACUACCACAAAACCAAAUGCUGGAGCUAGUAAAAAUGCAUGGAUCAGAAAAAGCCACACCAAAGGUUUUCAGUAUACUGGUAGCAACUCCAAAUGAAUUUACGACGAAAACUAAUAAAGUGCAGCAGGCAGUUCGUAAAGGGAUGUGCUGAGGAUUGUGAUGAGUACCAAGGCUACUUCAGGCAAUACGUGUGGGAGACGUAGCCAUACCACUGUCAUGUUGCCUUUUUUUAUUUGGCUUCUGAGAUCAGUUGGAUUAUGGCACAUGUCUGUUCUACGCACCCUGCAAACCUGUGGGUCCUCUCGUCUAACCUGAAGUGUAAACUUACCUGUUGUUGGAGAAUUGUUCGUGUACGACUGUAUCAAAGCCCGCAAACUGAAGCCCACAGCACCAUAUGAAUUUAC
This 1924-nucleotide unclassified non-coding RNA is filed under the name Mizuhopecten yessoensis (Yesso scallop). Its description in RNAcentral is "uncharacterized LOC110448723, transcript variant X4". Lineage: Eukaryota; Metazoa; Mollusca; Bivalvia; Pectinida; Pectinidae. The record is from RNAcentral.